Molecule: non-coding RNA, 238 nt
Organism: Pelobates cultripes (western spadefoot toad)
Lineage: Eukaryota; Metazoa; Chordata; Amphibia; Anura; Pelobatidae
Source: the annotation of a GenBank genome assembly
AGUAUACAUAAGAUGGCCGCGUUCGUGUGGGCAUUCAUGAGUACGUCAGCGAAAUAUAGCCACUUUUGUUAAGAUGUGUUUAUGAGAAUGUCGGCCAAAUGUAAUAGUAUAAGCCGACAUUCGGCAGUAAAAAGUGGAAUGAAGGGAGUGAUUAAAAGUGGUUGGCCGCAUGUACAUAAAACCCUCGAUUAGCUUAGUGAAAGAAGACGGCUUUUUACUCUUGGAACCUGAACUGUUG